UCAAGCUAUAAAGAGCGCAAGGGGAAUGCCUUGGCAUCAGGAGCCGAAGAAGGACGUGACAAGCUGCGAUAAGCCACGGGGAGGAGCAAAUAUCCGCUAUAUCCGUGGAUUUCCGAAUGGGGGAACCCGCUUGAGCAAUACUCAAGCAUCGUGCAUUGAAUCAAAUAGGUGUACGAGGGGAACGGUCUGAACUGAAACAUCUAAGUAGGACCAGGAAAAGACAUCAACCGAGAUUCCGCAAGUAGUGGCGAGCGAACGCGGAGGAGGCCAAACCGGAGGAUUUAUUCUCCGGGGUUGCGGACAGACAUCACGAUCAGAGGAAGCUAGGAGAACGGCAUGGGAAGGCCGGCUAGAAAGGGUGAGAGCCCCGUAUCCGAAAGCAGGAGCUGACAGUCUGGAUCCAGAGUACCGCGGGACACGUGAAACCCCGUGGGAAACCGGGUGGACCACCAUCCAAGCCUAAAUACUACCUGAUGACCGAUAGAGGAGCAGUACCGUGAGGGAAAGGUGAAAAGGACCCCGGGAGGGGAGUGAAAGAGAACCUGAAACCUUGUGCUUACAAGCAGUCAAAGCACGUUAAGGUGUGAUGACGUACUUUUUGUAGAACGGUCCGGCGAGUUAUAGUAACGAGCAAGCUUAAGGUAUUCAGUACCGGAGGCGAAGCGAGAGCGAGUCUGAAUAGGGCGUAAAAAGUUCGUUGCCAUAGACCCGAAACCGGGUGACCUAACCAUGAGCAGGCUGAAGUGAGAGUAAAAUCUCAUGGAGGGCCGAACGCACGUUCGUUGCAAUGACCGGCGAUGACUUGUGGUUAGCGGAGAAAUUCCAAUCGAACUCGGAGAUAGCUGGUUCUCCCCGAAAUAGCUUUAGGGCUAGCGUUAUCUUAGAUUACCGGAGGUAAAGCACUGAAUGGGCUAGGGGGCGAUAAGCUUACUGAACCCUAUCAAACUCUGAAUGCCGGCUAAUUGAUGAUCAGCAGUCAGACAGUGUGAGAUAAGUUUCAUUGUCAAAAGGGAAACAGCCCAGACCCACAGCUAAGGUCCCAAAGUACAGUUAAGUGGAAAAGGAUGUGGAAUUGCAUAGACAACCAGGAUGUUGGCUUAGAAGCAGCCACUCAUUAAAAGAGUGCGUAAUAGCUCACUGGUCGAGUGACUCUGCGCCGAAAAUUUAACGGGGCUAAACUAUACACCGAAGCUUGGGAUACAUCUAAUGUAUGGUAGGAGAGCGUUCUGUAUGGGGAGAAGUCGUAGCGAAAGCGGCGGUGGACUAUACAGAAGUGAGAAUGCCGGAAUAAGUAGCGAGAAUUAAGUGAGAAUCUUGAUGGCCGAAAGUCUAAGGUUUUUGGAGGAAGGUUCGUCCGCUCCAAGUAAGUCGGGAGCUAAGGUCAGGCCGAAAGGCGUAGCCGAUGCACAUACGGUUGAUAUUCCGUAACCAUCUGUAAUUUAAGCAAAGGGACACUUCAAAAGGGUGUGACCCGGGCGUUGGUUGACCCGGGCGUAAGGGACCGAAAUUAGAGUAGGGAAGCACACUUAGCUGAAGGCGAGAAAAGCUUUGCGUAUAGAAACAGAUGCCCGUACCGCAAACCGACACAGGUGGACAGGAAGAGAAUUCUAAGGCCAGCGGGAGAAGGGUAGUUAAGGAACUCGGCAAAUUGACUCCGUAACUUCGGAAUAAGGAGUGCUCGAAAGAGCCGCAGAGAAUAGGCCCAGGCGACUGUUUAGCAAAAACACAGGUCUCUGCCAAAUCGAAAGAUGAAGUAUAGGGGCUGACACCUGCCCGGUGCCGGAAGGUUAAGAGGAGGAGUGAGAGCUCCGAAUUGAAGCCCCGGUAAACGGCGGCCGUAACUAUAACGGUCCUAAGGUAGCGAAAUUCCUUGUCGGGUAAGUUCCGACCCGCACGAAUGGUGUAACGACUUGGGAGCUGUCUCAACAAGUGGCCCGGUGAAAUUGAAGUAUGUGUGAAGAUGCACAUUACCCGCGACUGGACGGAAAGACCCCGUAGAGCUUUACUGCAGCCUGAUAUUGGAUUUUGGCAACAAAUGUACAGAAUAGGUGGGAGCCGGAGAAAGCAGAACGCCAGUUUUGCCGGAGGCGCCGUUGGGAUACCACUCUUUUGUUGCCGGAGUUCUAACUUGAAACAGUAAUCCUGGUCAGGGACAGUGUCAGGUGGGCAGUUUGACUGGGGCGGUCGCCUCCUAAAAGGUAACGGAGGCGCUCAAAGGUAUCCUCAGAAUGGAUGGAAACCAUUCGAAGAGCGUAAAGGCAGAAGGAUGCCUGACUGCGAGACUGACAAGUCGAGCAGAGAGGAAACUCGGACUUAGUGACCCGGCGGUAUGAGAGUGGAAUUGCCGUCGCUCAACGG
RNAcentral lists this ribosomal RNA (2358 nucleotides) under human gut metagenome. Its description in RNAcentral is "bacterial LSU rRNA". It matches the Rfam family "Bacterial large subunit ribosomal RNA", at positions 3 to 2455 of the family's 2925-position model. The record is from RNAcentral.